Molecule: long non-coding RNA, 784 nt
Filed under: Gossypium raimondii (Peruvian cotton)
Lineage: Eukaryota; Viridiplantae; Streptophyta; Magnoliopsida; Malvales; Malvaceae
Description: long non-coding RNA (GRAI_LNC001976)
Source: RNAcentral
AAUAUAUGUAUGCACGAGAAAACACCCUCCCCCCUAACGGCUACGAGGGUCAAAGCUCAGCUUUGAUCCACCACCGGGAUACGUUAUAGACUUUUUAUUGGAUUUUGAGUUAGGCUUAUAUCUAUCUCCCGCCUACGGUUGCAAGCGUGAGGUUGUAAAGCUCCCUAGGUUGUUUCGAGAAAGUGUCCGGUAAGCCUUGCCUUAUUAGCAGCAAAAAAGUAACUACCAGUGAGGGGGCUAUUGGCUAUAGCCCCCGAGCGUAACUGCUGGAUAGUUUAUAGGGUGCGCGAAGCCCACCUCUCGUAUUUUUAAAGGAGGAGGGAGGCGGGUCCUUAGCGACACCCAGAUAGAGUGAAAAGAGGAAGAGUGAGGGGGCUAUUGGAGAUAGCACCCGAACGUUAACUUCAUAGCUCUAUAUUAGUAUCUUAUAGAACUACUUAGAACUACUGAGUUUAUUGUCCGGUAAGCCUCCCCGAGGGAGGUAUGGAGGGGUAACGUUCCUAGUGUAGUUAUAGUGUUGUUACCCUCUUGUUUGCACGAAAUUUCAUAUAUGCCUCCCCGAGGGAGGUAUGGAGGGGUAACGUUCCUAUGAUAAGCCUCCCCGAGGGAGGUAUGGAGGGGUAACGUACCUUCUUGCCUUGCGCUUGCGCAAGGGAAAAACCAAUAAAAAAAUUUAGAAAUUUUUUAUUUGAGUCUAUAAUGUAUCAUUUGUUGUAUCCCGUAUGGAGCCAUCUUCUUCGCCCGACAUGCGCUACAAGUAUCCCUACUUGGUCGGCCACCGGUG